This 26-nucleotide non-coding RNA is filed under the name Rattus norvegicus (Norway rat). The record is from RNAcentral. Lineage: Eukaryota; Metazoa; Chordata; Mammalia; Rodentia; Muridae.
CUCAAAGUUGCUACGUUCUCGUGCCA